CACGUAGGGGGCAAGCGUUGUCCGGAUUUAUUGGGCGUAAAGAGCUCGUAGGCGGCUUAGUAAGUCGGGUGUGAAACCUCCAGGCUCAACCUGGAGACGCCACCCGAUACUGCUGUGGCUAGAGUCCGGUAGGGGAGCGUGGAAUUCCUGGUGUAGCGGUGAAAUGCGCAGAUAUCGGGAGGAACACCAAUGGCGAAGGCAGCUCGCUGGGACGGUACUGACGCUGAGACGCGAAAGCGUGGGGAGCAAACAGG
RNAcentral lists this ribosomal RNA (254 nucleotides) under uncultured bacterium. Its description in RNAcentral is "partial 16S ribosomal RNA". It matches the Rfam family "Bacterial small subunit ribosomal RNA", at positions 524 to 776 of the family's 1533-position model. The record is from RNAcentral.